GAUGAACGCUGGCGGCGUGCUUAACACAUGCAAGUCGAACGGAAAGGCCGAAGCUUGCUUCGGUACUCGAGUGGCGAACGGGUGAGUAACACGUGGGUGAUCUGCCCUGUACUUCGGGAUAAGCUUGGGAAACUGGGUCUAAUACCGGAUAUGACAAUCUCUUGGAUGGGGUUGUGGGAAGCUUUUGCGGUAUGGGAUGAGCUCGCGGCCUAUCAGCUUGUUGGUGGGGUAAUGGCCUACCAAGGCGUCGACGGGUAGCCGGCCUGAGAGGGUGUACGGCCACAUUGGGACUGAGAUACGGCCCAGACUCCUACGGGAGGCAGCAGUGGGGAAUAUUGCACAAUGGGCGCAAGCCUGAUGCAGCGACGCCGCGUGGGGGAUGACGGCCUUCGGGUUGUAAACUCCUUUCGCAACCGACGAAGCUUUUGUGACGGUAGGUUGAGAAGAAGCACCGGCUAACUACGUG
This 466-nucleotide ribosomal RNA is filed under the name uncultured bacterium. RNAcentral's name for it is "partial 16S ribosomal RNA". It matches the Rfam family "Bacterial small subunit ribosomal RNA", at positions 28 to 507 of the family's 1533-position model. The record is from RNAcentral.